GGUGGGGUUGCCGACAUGGGUAGAGGCAGGGGCCUGCAAAGUCCUGGCUGAAAUUUCAGCUUUGGGGGUUCGAGUCCCCCUCCCGCCUCCA
RNAcentral lists this transfer RNA (91 nucleotides) under Patescibacteria group bacterium. Its description in RNAcentral is "tRNA-Cys". It matches the Rfam family "tRNA". From Rfam's summary of the family: Transfer RNA (tRNA) molecules are approximately 80 nucleotides in length. Their secondary structure includes four short double-helical elements and three loops (D, anti-codon, and T loops). Further hydrogen bonds mediate the characteristic L-shaped molecular structure. tRNAs have two regions of fundamental functional importance: the anti-codon, which is responsible for specific mRNA codon recognition, and the 3' end, to which the tRNAs corresponding amino acid is attached (by aminoacyl-tRNA synthetases). tRNAs cope with the degeneracy of the genetic code in two manners: having more than one tRNA (with a specific anti-codon) for a particular amino acid; and 'wobble' base-pairing, i.e. permitting non-standard base-pairing at the 3rd anti-codon position. The record is from RNAcentral.